This 492-nucleotide ribosomal RNA is filed under the name uncultured bacterium. Its description in RNAcentral is "partial 16S ribosomal RNA". It matches the Rfam family "Bacterial small subunit ribosomal RNA", at positions 29 to 507 of the family's 1533-position model. The record is from RNAcentral.
AGUGAACGCUGGCGGUAGGCCUAACACAUGCAAGUCGAACGGCAGCACAGUAAGAGCUUGCUCUUACGGGUGGCGAGUGGCGGACGGGUGAGGAAUACAUCGGAAUCUACUUUUUCGUGGGGGAUAACGUAGGGAAACUUACGCUAAUACCGCAUACGACCUACGGGUGAAAGCAGGGGAUCUUCGGACCUUGCGCGGUUGAAUGAGCCGAUGUCGUAUUAGCUGGUUGGCGGGGUAAAGGCCAACCAAGGCGAGGAUCCGGUGCUGGUGGGAGAGGAUGGUAGGCGACAUGGGAACUGAGACACGGUCCAGACCCCUACGGGAGGCAGCAGUGGGGAAUAUUGGACAAUGGGCGCAAGCCUGGUCCAGCCAUACCGCGUGGGUGAAGAAGGCCUUCGGGUUGUAAAGCCCUUUUGUUGGGAAAGAAAAGCAGCAGGUUAAUACCCCGCUGUUCUGACGGUACCCAAAGAAUAAGCACCGGCUAACUUCGUG